This is a long non-coding RNA of Bubalus bubalis (water buffalo), 4027 nucleotides long. RefSeq lists it as uncharacterized. NCBI's taxonomy places the organism in Eukaryota, Metazoa, Chordata, Mammalia, Artiodactyla, Bovidae. The transcript is spliced from 3 exons. The record is from RefSeq and is a predicted model, not a curated record.
CCCGCAAGUGGGCGGUGCUCCGCCUCAGAGGCCGGCUGUUUGGGUAACGCGGGGGGUACCGGUUACAACCGGUCUCCGCUUCACAGGAUACGGACUGUGGAAAUUGUGAGAUUUCAAUAUGAAAACUGAGUGACCUGAAACCCGUCCCAUUAGUUGAAACUUCUACCUUGGGUUCUUAGUUCCACGACCAGGAAUUGAACCCUGUGCCCCCCUGUGCUGGAAGCAUGGAAUCUAACCACUGGACUCCCAGCAGGAAGAAAAUCAAUAUACAAUACACUGCAAGCAAUACAGUGUGAUACAGUAACCACAAAACAGGAUAAUCACAUGGCCAAUAAGGCAGUUGGAGGAAAUGGAGGGGAAAAAUCCAAGAGAGAAGGUAAGAGCUUAUAGUUGGGGCCAUAUCUUAGUCACUGUUAUAUGACUCAGGGAAAAUAUCAGGGAAAACAGACAAAUGUAAACACAUUUAUUGAGCACCUUCUAUAGGCCAGGUAUGGUGUGGUUCCAUUUUUAAAACCUUACUGCAAAGCAGUCAGAAAGUUUAGGUAAAUUGCCCAGCAUGUGGUAUACAAUGUUUUUCAUACACUAUGCCUUAAUAUUAGCCGAAUAAAUGAAUAUGUAUUCAAAUGGAAGUUAAACAUUUUCUUUGCUGUGCUUCUUUCUAAUAUUUCCUAGAAAAAUGGUAAACUGAGAACUACAGGCUAGAGAAAGGACUGUAUUAGUUGGUGUGCGGUAACGGCAGUAACAUCCUGUGAGUUGGCCACAAUUUUGAUUUACAUGUAUUAACUCAUUUAGUCCUGACAACACUAUGAGGUAAGUAGUCUUUAUUUCUCAUUUUACAGAUGAGGAAACUGAGGUGCAGAGAGGUAAAAUAGCUUAUUCAAGUCAUCCCAUUGGUGCAUAGUAAGGCCAGGAUCUGAACUUUGAGAAGGGAGCUCCAGGCUGUACUUCACACCUCUGAACUAUCUUGCCUCUAGAGACUUGCUGCCUUUCAUACUGUGGUUCACGUAGUUUUACCUUUAGGCUCAGGCUCAGAUCAAGAUUUCCCUAAUUCUCCUUUAUGGCCUCUUACAGAGACUUUGACAAGUACUGCUUCCCAAAGCCAAAGGAAAAUAUUGACAUACUUCCCUAUCUUUUCUACUGUAUAAAAGGCAAAUUGAAGUCAUGGAGUAAGGGACAAAUCUCUUGUUUUCAGUUGGCAAGGGAAGUGAACAUAUAAGUCAAUCUUGCUAUUUCCCAGAUGACUAUCUCGGCAUCUGAAGAAGCAAAAUACCCAGAAUUUACAGAGAAUUUAUUUGAUUUACAAAUCAAAUGGGUCAAAGGCAUGAACAGAAAAUUCACAAAAGAAAAUAAGAGGCCAGUACCUUUAUUUCAUAAUCAAAUUUAGCUAGAUUCAUUUUUAUGCUUUUCUUUUUUCCUCAAGAUUGGAAAACUUUAAAAAGAUUGAUGUAGCUGAAACUGGAGAGGGACAGUCAGGAGGUUGAGGGGUGCGAGACAGUGAAAAGGUAGUGGGAUUGAUGGAUUAUAGAUGCUGGUAAAGCAAAGUAAUGUGGUGUGAGGAGGAAAAGACGGGAAGGACGGGAGGUAGUGACCAGAACAUGGAGUUUUAUAACUGACAAUGUGAAGAAUUUGAGUUUAUUGAUAACGAUAAGGUCUAGAGAAACAAUUUGAUAAAAAUACAUGCCACUUUAUGUAGGACUUCCCAGGUGGUGCUAGUGGUAAAGACCCUGCCUGCCAAUGCAGGAGACCUAAGAGAUGUGCUUUGAUCCCUGGGUUGGGAACAUCCCCUGGAGGAAGGCAUAGCAACCCACUCUAGUAUUCUUGCCUGGAGAAUCCUGUGGACAGAGGAGCUUGGCAGGCUACAAUCCAUGGGGUCACAAAGAGUCAGACACGACUGAAGUGAUCUAGCAUGCACAUGUGUAUGUAACUUAAGAGUUCCUAGUAGCCAGAUUAAAAAAAACAGCAGAUAAAAUCAAUUUUAAUGUAUUUAUUUAACCCAGUAUAUCCAAAAGAGUAACAUUUCAACAUGUAAUCAAGAUUGAGAUAUCUUCCAUUUUUUUACAUAGUAAAUCUUUAAAACUUAAUGUGUAUUUUACACUUACAAUGUAUCUCAACUUAGACUAGUCACAUUUCAAAUGCUCAGCAGCCACAAAUGACUAAUGACUAUUAUAUAUUGGAUGGCACAGGUCUCGAGUAUGACCAUGGGAAUAAGUGGUAUGAUAGAGAGACCAAGGUGUUGAAAGGAUCACCUAUGUGAAUACUGGAAUCACUAAAAAUGUUUUUAAGUCACGAAAAAGCACAUAUUAGACUUAUAUGAAAUGAGUUGGAAAGCUCUCUGAUAUACAGUGAAAAUUAAUUUCCAGUAUAUGUAUGGAUAAUACCAUUUAUUUAAAAAUAUGUAAAUUAUAAAAGAAGACUAUAAGGAAAGAGUCGUCUAACUUAGUAGUUACCCCUGGAGAAUGGAGUAGAAAUAGGGUGGAGUGGGUGUUAAGGGGGACUUUCAUGUCUCACUUUUUAUUCUUCUGGAUCAUUUGAAUAUCUCACAAUGAGGUUUUCAUGUACUUGUUGCUUAAUAAUUUUUAAGAGUUAAUAUUAAUACUAUUGAUGCAGUUAUCUACUUGACUUGGUUCCCUCUCUCCCUCCCUUCACCUGCCUUUUCCUCAGUUUCAAGUAUCAUGAAUUAUUCUGAGAAUAGAAGCUGAAUGGCUUACUGGCCAUUUUUUUUUUAAUUAGUAGGAGUGUAUGUGUUUCAGAUUGUUAUAUUUGAUGCUGUAAAGCACCUUGUUAAGAUUUCCAUUUCUGCUCUAGGUUGCUUGGGGCCUCAGAUGACCAAAUCCUUAAAUCUCAAGAUGAACAUGAUUAAGACAGAGAAUAAGCUAUGAGAUUCCACUGCGUGUCUUGUUCAUCAGUGUUCAUUUCUGGUACUAAGUUUCCUUAAUUAAACGUGUAGCUCAGGAGUGCUGUAGCAGACUUAAGCAGCAUGCUGUGACCUCCUUUAGAUUAACCUUCUUGAGGGCAAGGACUGAAUCUUUGUACCCCUGGUACCAGUAUUAAUAGCAAAAAGAUACUCAAUAAAUGUUCUUUCUUUCAAAAAUAUUUAUUUGGCUGUGCCGGGGCUUAGUUGCAGCACAUAGGAUCUUUAAUCUUCACUGGGGCAAGCCGGAUCUUUAGUUAUGGCAUGUGAACUCUUUAAGUUCCAGCAUGUGGGAUCUAGUUCCCUGACCAGGGGAUCAAACCCAGACCAUGAAAUAUUCCAAAGGUUGUCUGCACUGGGAGCAUGGAGUCUUAAAAGUCUCUAGACCACCAGGAAAGUCCCAAUAAAUGUUCUUUAAAUAGCAUAGUGAAUUUGUUAAUGAUUAAGAGCUACUAAGUAUACUGAAUGAGAGUUUAGAGGAAUGGGCUGUUACUUUAUUUCUAUAUUGAUUUCUUGUGAACUUUCAACUUUCCCUUCAAAAUUUAGGACAAUGUCACUUUUCCCCAUAGCUUUCCCUUCGGCACAAGUAUUUAACAGCUACAUCCUCAGUAUGCUCACACAAUUACAGGUAUACCUCUCAAACCCUCUCAUGCUGUGUGUUCACAUUUCUAAUUGUGAGUUUCUUCUGGGUGAGGACCAUUUCUUAUUAAAAGCAACACAAUGCCUGAGACCUAGCAGGUGCUCCAUAAAUGUUUAUGAAUGAAUAAAUAUAUAAAUGUAUAGAUUAGACCUUGGGGCCUCAAGCCCAUUUCCACAUAUAAUAAUGAAACAGAGAUAAAACCUACAUUUAUUUACUAUUUAUUGAGCACCUGCUGUAUACCAGGCAAAAGGAAAAGAGACAAACUGGCUAUCCAGAACUAUUUUUUUAACUCUUUCAGCAAUGCCUGAGUCCUUAUAAAAAAGUUCAUUCAGCUGAUUUAGUGUCCAUUCAUUCUUCGGUUAAUCUUCAUGUACAGUUUUCUCAAGUGUACUUUCAAAUAUUGCAUAGUGCUGCAGACCAUGAAAUAUUCCAAAGGUUGUCUGAAGGAUGAGAGGGAUCACCAUUGCUUUUAUCUC